CCAAGAUCACGAGAAAAAUAAUGGAAGCAUGCUACAUGUAUGUCUUCGGUUUCUGAACAGACGACACAGUCUACUGACAUUACAAGUGACUGCAAUGAGUUACAGAGGUGAGGGCCAACAACAAUCCUGGAAAAGAGGUGGUCGUGGCUGGGAUCGUGGUCGCAGAUACGGCAAUAGAAGUAGGGAAGAUCAGGAUGGUGAUGGUAAAGAAAGGGGUGGAGGUGGAUGGAGAGGAGGGAGACGGAGAGGAGGAAGAUGGAAUGGAGAGCAUGAAGGAGGAGGGGGAAGAGGGAGACAGAGAGGAGGGAGAUGGGAUGGAGAGCAUGAAGGAGGGGGAGGAGGAGGAAACAGAGGCAGAGAGCGACCACCGCCAGGGUUGUCUGGCAGAGAAAUUGGCAUGUGGUAUGCAGGCAGACAGAAAACCAAAACUGCAAGGAGGGAAAAUGAAAUGACCCCUGUGGUGAACUUACAAGGUAAUAUGGAACGAAAGAUUCGUAACCUCCUGGACGAUAUCCAGACAGGGGACAACGUCCAGCCACAACCAUCACGAUCUGGAGCCUCUUUGGACCAGGACGUGGGUGAAUCAGAUGGGCGGCCAUCAACAUCUUAUGCUGGCGGUCGCAAUCAACAGAAUUUUGCAAGACCAAGCACUGCAUCAGGUGAAAGAGGUCAAGGUUCACAAGGAUAUUCAGGAUUCAAAAUCAAAUCGGAGAGAGAUGGGAGCAGAAAAGUUUCUUCCUAUGAUGCAUGGAAUGACACCGAUGCUGACAAAAUGGAGACUGAUGCCAUGGGAAUUGGCUUCUCAGGGGAGGUAACUGGUGAAGAGGAACAGUUAUUUGAACCAGAUGAGGGGGAUUAUAAUGAAUGUGAUGUGUUACCAAUGGAUGAGGAGGCCAUGCAGUACACUGCUGAUGAGAUUGGACACAUCUUUGAUGAUGAAAUGAAUGAUGAAGCAGUGGAGGAUAUAGGGAUGGGCAGGGACCCAGAAUUAGACAGGCUACUGAUGGACCAGGCAGAGGACAGAAAGACUAACACACAAUUUAUGAAGAUGCUGGACUUCAGAAAAAAACUGCCUUCUUAUAACAAGAGACAGGAAAUUAUGGAAGCAUUGGAAUCACACCAGUGCCUGGUGAUCAGUGGGGAGACUGGGUGUGGAAAGACUACACAGGUGCCCCAAUUUAUAUUGGAUGACUACAUAUCCCGCGGGAAGGGAUCACAGUGUAAGGUCAUAUGUACUCAACCCAGGAGGAUCAGCGCUAUAACUGUAAGUAUGAGGUAUGAGGGGAGGAUCAGUGCUAUAACUGUCGCUGAACGAGUGGCUGAUGAGCGCGGACAGUCGGUUGGAAAAGAGGGUGACAUUGGAUACUCCAUAAGGCUGGAGAGACAUUUACCAAGGAAGAAGGGAUCAGUUUUAUACUGUACCACAGGUAUUUUGUUGAAAUACUUGGAACUUGAUCCGUCCCUGAGGCGAGCGAGCCACAUCAUUGUAGAUGAGAUACAUGAGAGAGACGUAUUGUCCGACUUCCUUCUCAUCAUCCUGAAGGACCUCCUCCCCAAACGUCCUGACCUCAAGGUCAUUCUAAUGAGUGCUACAUUGAAUGCCGAACAAUUCUCAAAUUACUUCAAUGGCAGCCCCAUGCUACAUAUCCCAGGAUUCACGUAUCCUGUGAAGGAGUACUGGCUAGAAGACGCCAUACAAAUGACAGGUUAUCAGCCCAGCCAACAGAAGAAGCCGGCAUUUAACCCCAGAAAACAGAAACAAAAGUGUCAGCUUGAAAUAGAAGAAACAAAGACAUGGUUAAAAACACUUGACCCAGCAAAGUACUCGCAGUCAACACGGAGGGCAAUAGAAAACAUGGAUAUGGACGAGGUGGACAUCGAACUCAUACACAGAGUCAUCCAUCACAUCUGCUUCAAAAUGGAUGGAGAUGGUGCUAUUUUGGUGUUUGUACCUGGUAUGGCAGAAAUAAAAAAUGUGAAUAAAAGUUUAGUUGAGACACCAGUUUUCAACAGCAGUAAUUUUCGGAUUAUUCCUCUUCAUUCGAUGAUGCCUACGGUGAACCAGAAAGAGGUUUUUGAUAGACCUCCCCCGGGGGUCAGGAAGAUCAUCAUUGCAACCAACAUCGCCGAGACCAGUAUAACCAUUGAUGAUGUCGUGUAUGUGGUGGAUUGUGGGAAGAUAAAAGUAAAGGAUUUUGAGCCGGAGAUCAAUCUGGCCACGUUGACGAGCCAGCCGGUGUCCAAAGCCAAUGCUAGACAGAGGCGGGGUCGAGCUGGGCGUGUACAGGAGGGGGUGUGUUUCCACCUAUACACAAGUCACCAGCAGGAAUCACUGCAGGACUACCUUCUGCCGGAGAUUCUUCGCACCCCUCUAGAGGAGCUGUGUCUGCAGAUAAAGCUGUUAAAACUGGGCAAGAUUGAGCCAUUCAUCAGCAAGGCCAUGCAGCAGCCAUCCCCCGAGGCCCUGCACAUCGCCCUGGUAACGCUUCGUGAUCUGAAAGCUCUGGAUGAAAAUGAGAACCUGCUGCCCCUUGGUCAUCACUUGGCACGGAUGCCUGUUGACCCAAAGUCCGGCAAGAUGAUCCUGUUUGGUGCCAUGUUCGGCUGUCUAGACCCUAUAUGCACCAUUGCCGCUAGUCUGAGCUUCAAGAGUGCCUUUGUUACUCCUCUGGGGAAAGAGAGUGAAGCUGACAGGGCCAAGGUUAAGUUGUCUGAUGGGAGCCAAAGUGACCACAUCAUGCUGGUCAAUGCUUUCAAGGGCUGGGAAAAAGCCAAGCGACAAGGAACAGGCUCACAGUACUGCUGGGAAAAUUUCUUGUCCCCCAGUAUUCUCAAGCAACUGGAUGGAAUGAAGGGACAGUUUGGGGAAUUUCUACAUGCUCGCAGAUUUAUCAACACUCGGAAUCCUUCUGACCGAUCAGUAAACAUGAAUUCUGAUAAUGAGAAUUUGGUGAAGGCGGUUAUAUGUGCCGGAUUGUACCCGAAUGUGGCAAAGCUAUUCAAGAAAAACAUUCAGAAGUAUAGACAAGUGCCGUUCCUCCUCAAUGGUGAAAGGAAUAAAGUUUACCUGCACCCGGCAUCUGUUAACAACAGUAACAGAAAUUUUAACUCCUCUUGGUUCAUCUAUCACAAGAAGAUGAAAACUGCUCAAGUGUACCUGUAUGACACCAGUAUGGUCUCUCCCUACCCGCUCCUGUUUUUCGGGGGUGAAAUUGGAACACACAGAGAAAGCAUGCUAAUCCAAGAUUUCCUGAUAAGGAAACAUCAAGAUCUACAGCACAAAACAUCAAAGAUGGUGACAUGAGGACAAAGAUCACCAUUGACAACUGGAUAUCGUUCUGGGCCAAUCAGUCAACAUCUCAGAUGGUUAAGGACCUUCGACAACAACUAGACAGAAUAUUGGAGGAAAAGAUCAAGCGGCCAGGUGUGACAGACUGGUCCAAAAAAAGCAGAGAGG
RNAcentral lists this unclassified non-coding RNA (3457 nucleotides) under Mizuhopecten yessoensis (Yesso scallop). RNAcentral describes it as "aTP-dependent RNA helicase DHX36-like, transcript variant X1". The record is from RNAcentral. Lineage: Eukaryota; Metazoa; Mollusca; Bivalvia; Pectinida; Pectinidae.